This 1679-nucleotide ribosomal RNA is filed under the name human gut metagenome. RNAcentral's name for it is "bacterial LSU rRNA". It matches the Rfam family "Bacterial large subunit ribosomal RNA", at positions 829 to 2524 of the family's 2925-position model. The record is from RNAcentral.
CCAAUCGAACCCGGAGAUAGCUGGUUCUCCUCGAAAUAGCUUUAGGGCUAGCCUCAUGGAUCAUUGGUGGGGGUAGAGCACUGAAUGUGCGCGGGGGCCACAAAGCCUACCAAACGCUAUCAAACUACGAAUACCAUACAAUGCAGACCAUGGGAGUCAGUCCGCGAGAGAUAAGUUCCGCGGGCAAAAGGGGAACACCCCAGAUCAACCGCUAAGGUCCCCAAGUUCACGUUAAGUGGAGAAGGAUGUGGAAUUGCACAGACAACCAGGAUGUUGGCUCAGAAGCAGCCACACAUUUAAAGAGUGCGUAAUAGCUCACUGGUCGAGUGAUUGUGCGCCGAAGAUGUCCGGGGCUAAACGUGACACCGAAGCGAUGGGUGCAUCUGAAAGGAUGCGCGGUAGAGGAGCAAUGUGCAGAGGCAGAAGCCGUAUCGAGAGGCACGGUGGACACUGCACAAGAGAGAAUGCCGGUAUGAGUAGCGAGAGGCAUGCGAGAAACAUGCCCGUCGAAAGCCCAAGGUUUCCUGGGGAAGGUUCAUCCGCCCAGGGUAAGUCGGGGCCUAAGCCGAGGACGGAAGUCGUAGGCGAUGGACAGCAGGUGUAGAUUCCUGCACUACCGAUGGAAUGAAGCAGUGACACAGAAGGAUAACUCGAGCAGGGUGAUGGUCAACCCUGUGCAAGCAUCAAGGUUGGGUUGUAGUGAAGUACGCAAUCCUAUAAGCUGAGAUGUGAUGCGGACCGAAAUUUCAGUAGGGAAGCGAGUGAGUUCACGCUGGCGAGAAAAGCUGCUAGUAUAUCCAAAGGUACCCGUACCGGAAACCGACGCAGGUGGGCGAGGAGAGAAUCCUGAGACGAACGGGAGAACCCUUGUUAAGGAACUCGGCAAAAUGACCCCGUAACUUCGGGAUAAGGGGUGCCUGCGAGAGCAGGCCGCAGAGAAUAGUCACAAGCGACUGUUUAGCAAAAACACAGGUAUCUGCGAAAGCGAGAGCUGACGUAUAGGUGCUGACACCUGCCCGGUGCUGGAAGGUUAAGGGAACAUGUUAGAGCAAUCGAAGCAUCGAACCGAAGCCCCAGUAAACGGCGGCCGUAACUAUAACGGUCCUAAGGUAGCGAAAUUCCUUGUCGGGUAAGUUCCGACCCGCACGAAUGGUGUAACGACUUGUGAGCUGUCUCAACAGGGGGCCCGGUGAAAUUGAAGUAUGGGUGAAGAUGCCCAUUACCCGCGACUGGACGGAGAGACCCCGUAGAGCUUUACUGCAGCCUGAUAUUGAGUUUCGGUAACUGAUGCACAGGAUAGGUGGGAGUCUGAGAGACAUGGGUUUCGGCUCAUGUGGAGACGGUGUUGGGAUACCACUCUUCGGUUACUGAAAUUCUAACAUAGCUCUGUGAAACCAGAGGAUGGACAGUGUCAGGUGGACAGUUUGACUGGGGCGGUCGCCUCCGAAAGAGUAACGGAGGCGCCCAAAGGUACCCUCAGAAUGGAUGGAAACCAUUCGAAGAGCGCAAAGGCAGAAGGGUGCCUGACUGCGAGAUUGACAAAUCGAGCAGAGACGAAAGUCGGGCUUAGUGAUCCGGCGGUAUUGAGUGGAAAAGCCGUCGCUUAACGGAUAAAAGCUACCUCGGGGAUAACAGGCUGAUCUCCCCCAAGAGUCCACAUCGACGGGGAGGUUUGGCAC